RNAcentral lists this ribosomal RNA (253 nucleotides) under uncultured bacterium. RNAcentral describes it as "partial 16S ribosomal RNA". It matches the Rfam family "Bacterial small subunit ribosomal RNA", at positions 524 to 776 of the family's 1533-position model. The record is from RNAcentral.
AACGUAGGUGGCAAGCGUUAUCCGGAUUUACUGGGCGUAAAGGGUGUGCAGGCGGGGGACCAAGUGGUGUAUGAAAGGGUCAGGCUCAACCUGGCGAGGGUAUGCCAGACUGGUCGUCUAGAACGUGAGAGAGGGACGUGGAGUUCCGGGUGUAGUGGUGAAAUGCGUAGAGAUCCGGAGGAACACCAGAGGCGAAAGCGGCGUCCUGGCUCACUGUUGACGCUCAGACACGAAAGCAUGGGGAGCGAACGGG